RNAcentral lists this long non-coding RNA (3328 nucleotides) under Equus asinus (donkey). Its description in RNAcentral is "lncRNA (ENSEASG00005034572.1)". Lineage: Eukaryota; Metazoa; Chordata; Mammalia; Perissodactyla; Equidae. The record is from RNAcentral.
CUCACACCUGGGUGAACUUCUCUAGGAGGCUGCGCAUAAAAUCAGAAGUGGAAUUGCUGGACAGAGGCAGGAUUGGGUUCCUCCAGGCAGAUACGUCAGAAGGACAAUGUGCAGAGUGUAUUGGUGAGAGAUGGACUGAGGUAUUGACCAUGUGACCUGACUGGAUAAAGAAUUAAGUCAAGACAGCAAAAGGCUGAUAAUAUUCAGAGAAAACGCUAUCACUUUGCUCUGUGCCUGGUGCUGGAGACAUUGAAAUAAAAGAUACAAGUGCUGCCCACAGGAAACUCACAGACCAGUGCGGGGAGAAGGGGGCAGGCCUGUGAGCCCAUCUACAGAACAAAAUGCCCCCCGGUGAGGCUGCUCAGUGGGGCUCCCUGAUCCACAGAAGACCUGGGGGCUCCAGGAAGGAUGAGGGGACCAAGAAGGGACCUACAUUCUAACCAGGGCAGGCAGCAGAUGUGGCAGGAAGGGGAAGGGCUCUAAGUACCCCUGCUCCUGCACAGAAAUCCACUUGCCUGAGAAGUUGUGGACUAAGGAAAACUAAGGACUUUUCCAGACGAAAACUGGCUGAAGAGACCUGAGAACUUGAUGCAAAGCAUGAUCCCAGAUUGGACCUGGAUUGUGGGGAGACGUAGUUCACAAGGGACUGUUUGGGGCGAUUGGCAACGUGUGAAUAUGGACUAUGGAUUGGAAAACAGCAUUGGAUGAACGUCAGAUUUCCUGAUUUUGCUUGCUGUUCUGUGGCUACAUAAGAGAACAUUCUUGUUCUUAAAAAAUACACACUGACGUAUUUAGGAAGUAUUCAGGAACAUGAUGUCUGCAACUCACUUUUGAAUAGUCCAGGAAAAUACAUACGUAUAUUAAAUAUGACAGGGGAUGGAGAAUGAUAACACAAAAGGGGGAAAAUAUUAACAGUUGGUGAAUCUGGAUAAAGUGUUCCUUGAACAUGAGUUCUUUGAACUAUUCUUGAAACUUUCAUGUAAAUUGGAAAUUAUAUCAAUUUAAAGCUUAAAAAGAAACAAAGGCAAGCCCAGGGUUGGAUUCCGUGGAUCGCAAACUCAGGGUGAGAAUAAACCAAACUUUGUGAGGUAGCAACAGAACCAAUACUGGAUUUGUUUAUUUUUUAAAAGUCAUCAUCUAUGGAAGGUUGACUUAAUGUAUCCUCCAAAUAUUAAUAGUUACUGACAAUCACGUGUUUUUGUUUAUGCUAUCAUUUUAACAGAGUUUACGUUACAUAUUGAUUAUUGACCAAAGGCUUCCAGAAUGAGGAUCACCUGGGAGCAAUUUUCCCUGAGCGUCCUCGUUUGGUUAUGCAAACUUACAGCAGCAAGGAGAAUCUCAUUGCUUUUGGAGAGGGUGCAACAUACAUGUGCGCUGUGUGGCUUGAUGAAAGCUGGCCCUCCUGGGACUCCUUGGUAUGUGGAGCUUUAGGGAGGGGAAACCAUUUCACAUAAGCAGCCAAAAGCCUUGGGAGGGCAGGGACUACAGACAUUAAAAGCUGAGAAAACCUGGCAGGGUGACAGGAAAGGACAAGAACUCCAAGGGCGAAGGCAAACUUAUCCGGGGGAGGAGGUCUGGGUUUAAUGCAAGAGCCUAAGGCUAUGCUGUGUAUGGAAAGGGGGUAGAGACUCUGCAACAGCAUGGAGCUGGACCAGCAGCCCUCUGGACCAACCAUGGCACCGAGUCAUGCCUGCGGAACGGUGCCUGAGCAUGUGUGAGGUUGGGAGCUGUUGUCUUGAAGUCCAGCCUAUGACACCUCUGCAGCGGUCUGGGUGGAGCCACAGGAGCAAGGGCAUCACCUCAUGAGCAGGCAAAUGUCCCUUGGGCUGAGUCAGUCCAGGCAACAGCAACCUGUUCGGUGUCUCUAGAACACAGUGGUAGUGGCCAACAUAGCCCCUUCAGUUCUCUCCCAGCCUGUGUUUAGAUGAAGGACUAAGGCUUUUCAAGCUCUCAUGGUUCUUCACAAUUUGAGGGGGAGGCCUCCGACAGGAAACACUGCAUAUUAAUUGGUGAAAUUUAAAAAAAGAUGUAUUGAUAUCAGGUGGUAGGUGAUCUCCGAUGUGGUCACUAUCAGUUCCGUCUUUCCCUUUCCCAGCAACGGGUGGAGUGUAUUUCCCCUCCGUUGGCAUUUAGGCUAGCCCUGCCUGUGACUGCGGUGGAACCAAACGUGGUGGAACUUCUGAGCCUGGGUCUUAAGGUCUGGCAGCUUCUGCUUUCUUCCUCUUGGAACAUGCACUCUGUGUUGGUUGCUGACUCUUGAAAUCCACUGCCCUGCCAUGAGAAGCUCAGUCCAGCCACACAGGGAGGUGGUGUGGAGGAGAACUGACUCCUGGCAGAAGGCCAGCGCCCACUUGCUAGCUAUGUGACGGAGGUCAGUUUGGACCUUCCAGCCACCCCAGCACCCUGGCCAAUGCCACAGGAAGCAGAAGAACCCCUCGGUCAACCAUUGUGACUCACAGGCUCCUGUCCACCAUGCCCAGGCUGGGCUGCUCCUGGAACACCGUGCAGCCUGGAAGAGUGGGGGUCCCCACAGGCCCCCGGCCUCCGGGCUGGGUGGGCUUCUCAGAACCACCCAGCAGCACUUGUGAGUUUCACUAUUCUGUGCUGCAUGUAUUUCAAACCUUCCCACUCUAGAAUUCUCUGACUGUCCCCUCACCAGCAGCAGGUGACUGCAUCACUUAUUUCACCAAGAACAUAGAGGUCAUCAGGAUGAAACACUUCAAACUUCUUGCUGGAAAUCCUCCGACUUCACCUGCACUUUCUCCCUCCUAGUCUCAUUCUCAUCAGACACGUGGCAAAGGCGAAUCGCGGCCCACCCCUGAUCCCCUCCACAAAGACAUCGCUCCGUCAGCUUUGCCCCCCUCUUCCAUGUCUCCCCUCUGUAGCUCAAGCUGUUGGAUGAAAUCCUUCCCUCAGUCUCUCCGGCAGCUGCCGCAUCUCUGCCCUCCUCUUCACAGCUAAACUUAAAGCUGUCUAUUCCUCAACCCACUGGCGUCAGACAUCCGUCUUCCCCAUUCCUCUAAAGCUCAUCACCCCACAGCCACUUGUUAAACCCACUGGAGGUUCUCAAGGCCUCCCGCAUUCUCGCUGCUCAGCCGCACCAGACACCAUGACUGCCACUUGUUUCCUGAAAGGCUCUAUUUUCUGCCUUUCCAGAACACAACCCUCUCUUAGUUUUCCUCCUACCUCUCUGACGGUUCCUUUCACAGUCUUUCCUUCACCUGUUUCUAAAAGGUUGUUUUUUGCCUUGGCUUCUGGCCCUUUCCUCUUGUCUCUUGUCACACCUUCUUGGCACCAGGCCGGGUUGGAGUAAUAGGGAGAGGUGGGG